This 776-nucleotide ribosomal RNA is filed under the name uncultured bacterium. RNAcentral's name for it is "bacterial SSU rRNA". It matches the Rfam family "Bacterial small subunit ribosomal RNA", at positions 1 to 783 of the family's 1533-position model. The record is from RNAcentral.
UUCGCUCUUCACUUCGUUUUGAGCUUCGGAAGCGCAGGCGCCCUUUUCAAUGUAAGUUAAAGGGAGCUUGCUCCACGUAGCUCGAGCGUAGCGAUGAGUGUAGGGGAGUGGCGGACGGGUGAGUAACGAGUGAGAACGUACCCUCUAGUGAGGAAUAACUCCGAGAAAUCGGGGCUAAUACCGCAUGAGACCGUGAGGUGAAAGGGUGUAACUACCCGCUAGAGGAGCGGCUCGCUUCCCAUCAGCUUGUUGGUAAGGUAAUGGCUUACCAAGGCAACGACGGGUAGCCGGACUGAGAGGUUGACCAGCCACAAGAGCACUGAGACACGGGCUCUACUCCUACGGGAGGCAGCAACCGGGAAUCGUAGACAAUGGGCGAAAGCCUGAUCUCGCGACGCCGCGUGGAGGAUGAAGGCCUUCGGGUUGUAAACUCCUUUUAUUAGAGAAUAAGCUCCGAUUUAUCGGGGUUGACUGUACCUAUUGAAUAAGCGCUGCUAACUACGUGCCAGCAGCCGCGGUGAUACGUAGGCGCAAGCGUUACCCGGAAUUACUGGGCGUAAAGAGUGCGUAGGUGGUAAGGUAAGUUUUCGUUAAAAUACACUGGCUCAACCAGUGGACCGCGAAAAUACUGCCAUACUUGAGAUAGUUAGGGGGUACCGGAACAGAUGGUGAAGCAGUGAAAUGCGUUGAUAUCAUCUGGAACCCCAAGGCGAAGGCAGGUACCUGGGGCUUUUCUGACACUUUGCCGAAAGCGUGGGGAGCGAAGCGGAUUAGAU